Long non-coding RNA from Oncorhynchus nerka (sockeye salmon), 5338 nucleotides. RefSeq lists it as uncharacterized. NCBI's taxonomy places the organism in Eukaryota, Metazoa, Chordata, Actinopteri, Salmoniformes, Salmonidae. The transcript has 3 exons. The record is from RefSeq and is a predicted model, not a curated record.
UGUCACUGUGUUAGUUAGGGGUUAAAGGUCAGGGUUAAUAUAUAACUGAUAUGUCACUGUGUUAGUUAGGGGUUAAAGGUCAGGGUUAAUAUAUAACUGAUAUGUCACUGUGUUAGGGGUUAAAGGUCAGGGUUAAUAUAUAACUGAUGUAUCACUGUGUUAGUUAGGGGUUAAAGGUCAGGGUUAAUAUAUAACUGAUAUGUCACUGUGUUAGGGGUUAAAGGUCAGGGUUAAUAUAUAACUGAUAUGUCACUGUGUUAGUUAGGGGUUAAAGGUCAGGGUUAAUAUAUAACUGAUGUAUCACUGUGUUAGUUAGGGGUUAAAGGUCAGGGUUAAUAUAUAACUGAUAUGUCACUGUGUUAGUUAGGGGUUAAAGGUCAGGGUUAAUAUAUAACUGAUAUGUCACUGUGUUAGUUAGGGGUUAAAGGUCAGGGUUAAUAUAUAACUGAUAUGUCACUGUGUUAGUCAGGGGUUAAAGGUCAGGGUUAAUAUAUAACUGAUGUAUCACUGUGUUAGUUAGGGGUUAAAGGUCAGGGUUAAUAUAUAACUGAUAUGUCACUGUGUUAGUUAGGGGUUAAAGGUCAGGGUUAAUAUAUAACUGAUGUAUCACUGUGUUAGUUAGGGGUUAAAGGUCAGGGUUAAUAUAUAACUGAUAUGUCACUGUGUUAGUUAGGGUCAGGGGUUAAAGGUCAGGGUUAAUAUAUAACUGAUAUGUCACUGUGUUAGGGGUUAAAGGUCAGGGUUAAUAUAUAACUGAUAUGUCACUGUGUUAGGGGUUAAAGGUCAGGGUUAAUAUAUAACUGAUAUGUCACUGUGUUAGGGGUUAAAGGUCAGGGUUAAUAUAUAACUGAUAUGUCACUGUGUUAGUUAGGGUCAGGGGUUAAAGGUCAGGGUUAAUAUAUAACUGAUAUGUCACUGUGUUAGGGGUUAAAGGUCAGGGUUAAUAUAUAACUGAUAUGUCACUGUGUUAGUUAGGGGUUAAAGGUCAGGGUUAAUAUAUAACUGAUAUGUCACUGUGUUAGUCAGGGGUUAAAGGUCAGGGUUAAUAUAUAACUGAUGUAUCACUGUGUUAGUUAGGGGUUAAAGGUCAGGGUUAAUAUAUAACUGAUAUGUCACUGUGUUAGUCAGGGGUUAAAGGUCAGGGUUAAUAUAUAACUGAUGUAUCACUGUGUUAGUUAGGGGAUAAAGGUCAGGGUUAAUAUAAAACUGAUAUGUCACUGUGUUAGGGGUUAAAGGUCAGGGUUAAUAUAUAACUGAUAUGUCACUGUGUUAGUUAGGGGUUAAAGGUCAGGGUUAAUAUAUAACUGAUAUGUCACUGUGUUAGGGGUUAAAAGUCAGGGUUAAUAUAUAACUGAUAUGUCACUGUCUUAGUCAGGGGUUAAAGGUCAGGGUUAAUAUAUAACUGAUAUGUCACUGUUAGUUAGGGGUUAAAGGUCAGGGUUAAUAUAUAACUGAUAUGUCACUGUUAGUUAGGGGUUAAAGGUCAGGGUUAAUAUAUAACUGAUAUGUCACUGUGUUAGUUAGGGGUUAAAGGUCAGGGUUAAUAUAUAACUGAUAUGUCACUGUGUUAGUUAGGGGUUAAAGGUCAGGGUUAAUAUAUAACUGAUGUAUCACUGUGUUAGUUAGGGGUUAAAGGUCAGGGUUAAUAUAUAACUGAUAUGUCACUGUGUUAGUUAGGGGUUAAAGGUCAGGGUUAAUAUAUAACUGAUGUAUCACUGUGUUAGUUAGGGGUUAAAGGUCAGGGUUAAUAUAUAACUGAUAUGUCACUGUGUUAGUUAGGGGUUAAAGGUCAGGGUUAAUAUAUAACUGAUAUGUCACUCUGUUAGUUAGGGGUUAAAGGUCAGGGUUAAUAUAUAACUGAUAUGUCACUGUGUUAGUUAGGGUCAGGGGUUAAAGGUCAGGGUUAAUAUAUAACUGAUAUGUCACUGUGUUAGUUAGGGGUUAAAGGUCAGGGUUAAUAUAUAACUGAUAUGUCACUGUGUUAGGGGUUAAAGGUCAGGGUUAAUAUAUAACUGAUAUGUCACUGUGUUAGUUAAGGUCAGGGGUUAAAGGUCAGGGUUAAUAUAUAACUGAUAUGUCACUGUGUUAGUUAGGGGUUAAAGGUCAGGGUUAAUAUAUAACUGAUAUGUCACUGUGUUAGGGGUUAAAGGUCAGGGUUAAUAUAUAACUGAUAUGUCACUGUGUUAGUUAGGGGUUAAAGGUCAGGGUUAAUAUAUAACUGAUGUAUCACUGUGUUAGUUAGGGGUUAAAGGUCAGGGUUAAUAUAUAACUGAUAUGUCACUGUGUUAGUUAGGGGUUAAAGGUCAGGGUUAAUAUAUAACUGAUAUGUCACUGUGUUAGGGGUUAAAGGUCAGGGUUAAUAUAUAACUGAUAUGUCACUGUGUUAGGGGUUAAAGGUCAGGGUUAAUAUAUAACUGAUAUGUCACUGUGUUAGUUAGGGUCAGGGGUUAAAGGUCAGGGUUAAUAUAUAACUAAUAUGUCACUGUGUUAGUUAGGGGUUAAAGGUCAGGGUUAAUAUAUAACUGAUGUAUCACUGUGUUAGUUAGGGGUUAAAGGUCAGGGUUAAUAUAUAACUGAUAUGUCACUGUGUUAGUUAGGGUCAGGGGUUAAAGGUCAGGGUUAAUAUAUAACUGAUAUGUCACUGUUAGUUAGGGGUUAAAGGUCAGGGUUAAUAUAUAACUGAUAUGUCACUGUGUUAGGGGUUAAAGGUCAGGGUUAAUAUAUAACUGAUAUGUCACUGUGUUAGUUAGGGGUUAAGGGUCAGGGUUAAUAUAUAACUGAUAUGUCACUGUGUUAGGGGUUAAAGGUCAGGGUUAAUAUAUAACUGAUAUGUCACUGUGUUAGUUAGGGUCAGGGGUUAAAGGUCAGGGUUAAUAUAUAACUGAUAUGUCACUGUGUUAGUUAGGGUCAGGGGUUAAAGGUCAGGGUUAAUAUAUAACUGAUAUGUCACUGUGUUAGGGGUUAAAGGUCAGGGUUAAUAUAUAACUGAUAUGUCACUGUGUUAGUUAGGGUCAGGGGUUAAAGGUCAGGGUUAAUACAUGACUGAUAUGUCACUGUGUUAGUUAGGGUCAGGGGUUAAAGGUCAGGGUUAAUAUAUAACUGAUAUGUCACUGUUAGUUAGGGGUUAAAGGUCAGGGUUAAUAUAUAACUGAUAUGUCACUGUGUUAGUUAGGGGUUAAAGGUCAGGGUUAAUAUAUAACUGAUAUGUCACUGUGUUAGUUAGGGGUUAAAGGUCAGGGUUAAUAUAUAACUGAUAUGUCACUGUGUUAGGGGUUAAAGGUCAGGGUUAAUAUAUAACUGAUAUGUCACUGUGUUAGUUAGGGGUUAAAGGUCAGGGUUAAUAUAUAACUGAUAUGUCACUGUGUUAGUUAGGGUCAGGGGUUAAAGGUCAGGGUUAAUAUAUAACUGAUAUGUCACUGUGUUAGUUAGGGUCAGGGGUUAAAGGUCAGGGUUAAUAUAUAACUGAUAUGUCACUGUGUUAGGGGUUAAAGGUCAGGGUUAAUAUAUAACUGAUAUGUCACUGUGUUAGGGGUUAAAGGUCAGGGUUAAUAUAUAACUGAUAUGUCACUGUGUUAGUUAGGGGUUAAAGGUCAGGGUUAAUAUAUAACUGAUAUGUCACUGUGUUAGGGGUUAAAGGUCAGGGUUAAUAUAUAACUGAUAUGUCACUGUGUUAGUUAGGGGUUAAAGGUCAGGGUUAAUAUAUAACUGAUAUGUCACUGUGUUAGUUAGGGGUUAAAGGUCAGGGUUAAUAUAUAACUGAUAUGUCACUGUGUUAGUUAGGGGUUAAAGGUCAGGGUUAAUAUAUAACUGAUAUGUCACUGUGUUAGUUAGGGGUUAAAGGUCAGGGUUAAUAUAUAACUGAUGUAUCACUGUGUUAGUUAGGGGUUAAAGGUCAGGGUUAAUAUAUAACUGAUAUGUCACUGUGUUAGGGGUUAAAGGUCAGGGUUAAUAUAUAACUGAUAUGUCACUGUGUUAGUUAGGGGUUAAAGGUCAGGGUUAAUAUAUAACUGAUGUAUCACUGUGUUAGUUAGGGGUUAAAGGUCAGGGUUAAUAUAUAACUGAUAUGUCACUGUGUUAGUUAGGGGUUAAAGGUCAGGGUUAAUAUAUAACUGAUAUGUCACUGUGUUAGUUAGGGGUUAAAGGUCAGGGUUAAUAUAUAACUGAUAUGUCACUGUGUUAGUCAGGGGUUAAAGGUCAGGGUUAAUAUAUAACUGAUGUAUCACUGUGUUAGUUAGGGGUUAAAGGUCAGGGUUAAUAUAUAACUGAUAUGUCACUGUGUUAGUUAGGGGUUAAAGGUCAGGGUUAAUAUAUAACUGAUAUGUCACUGUGUUAGUUAGGGUCAGGGGUUAAAGGUCAGGGUUAAUAUAUAACUGAUAUGUCACUGUGUUAGGGGUUAAAGGUCAGGGUUAAUAUAUAACUGAUAUGUCACUGUGUUAGGGGUUAAAGGUCAGGGUUAAUAUAUAACUGAUAUGUCACUGUGUUAGGGGUUAAAGGUCAGGGUUAAUAUAUAACUGAUAUGUCACUGUGUUAGUUAGGGUCAGGGGUUAAAGGUCAGGGUUAAUAUAUAACUGAUAUGUCACUGUGUUAGGGGUUAAAGGUCAGGGUUAAUAUAUAACUGAUAUGUCACUGUGUUAGUUAGGGGUUAAAGGUCAGGGUUAAUAUAUAACUGAUAUGUCACUGUGUUAGUCAGGGGUUAAAGGUCAGGGUUAAUAUAUAACUGAUGUAUCACUGUGUUAGUUAGGGGUUAAAGGUCAGGGUUAAUAUAUAACUGAUAUGUCACUGUGUUAGUCAGGGGUUAAAGGUCAGGGUUAAUAUAUAACUGAUGUAUCACUGUGUUAGUUAGGGGAUAAAGGUCAGGGUUAAUAUAAAACUGAUAUGUCACUGUGUUAGGGGUUAAAGGUCAGGGUUAAUAUAUAACUGAUAUGUCACUGUGUUAGUUAGGGGUUAAAGGUCAGGGUUAAUAUAUAACUGAUAUGUCACUGUGUUAGGGGUUAAAAGUCAGGGUUAAUAUAUAACUGAUAUGUCACUGUCUUAGUCAGGGGUUAAAGGUCAGGGUUAAUAUAUAACUGAUAUGUCACUGUUAGUUAGGGGUUAAAGGUCAGGGUUAAUAUAUAACUGAUAUGUCACUGUUAGUUAGGGGUUAAAGGUCAGGGUUAAUAUAUAACUGAUAUGUCACUGUGUUAGUUAGGGGUUAAAGGUCAGGGUUAAUAUAUAACUGAUAUGUCACUGUGUUAGUUAGGGGUUAAAGGUCAGGGUUAAUAUAUAACUGAUGUAUCACUGUGUUAGUUAGGGGUUAAAGGUCAGGGUUAAUAUAUAACUGAUAUGUCACUGUGUUAGU